AUCAUUUACCAAAGUUCUAAAAAAGUCGUGCAUCUCUGUCCUCUAGUAUAAGAAUAAAUCAACAAGAAGAACAAGUAGUGAACGACCUACCUGAAAGCACAAUUUCAAACCUUCAGCUAAUACUCAUUGUUGUUUGUUAAAAUCCAUCAUAUGAUGGCUUCUUCUUCGAAAUCCAAAAGUAUUUACGACGUCUUCUUGAGUUUCAGAGGCACUGAUGUGCGUAACAGCUUCCUUAGCCAUCUCUACCAAGCUUUAGAUCAGAAUGGAAUAUACACUUUCCAGGAUAGCGAGGAAUUGAGAAAGGGAGACCAAAUAUCAGCGACUCUUAUGAAGGCCAUUGAAGAAUCGUGCAUUGCAAUCAUCAUUUUUUCCAAGGACUACGCUUCCUCAUGGUGGUGCUUGGAAGAGACGGCGAAGAUUAUGGAGUGCAAGGAGCAAAAGGACCUCACCGUUCUACCGGUGUUUUACAAAGUGGACCCAAGAGAAGUGAGAGAAGGGAGAGAGAGUUAUAAGAAAGCUCUGGAUAAGCAUGAGGAUAAGUUCAAAAAGGAUCCAGAGAAAGUGAAGAAAUGGAAAAAAGCUCUUUUUGAUGCUAGUAACUUGUCCAGGUGGCAUUUGAAUGAUGAAGAUGAGUCAAAGCUUAUACUGCAAAUUGUGAAGGAGAUUUCCACUCACUUUAACCUAACACCGUUGUAUGUUACUAAGCAUCUGGUUGGGAUAGAGUCUCCAGUUGUUAAGUUGAAAGAGAUGUUAAACCUUGCGUUUGAUAAUGAUGUUGUCAUGGUUGGGUUAUGGGGACAAGGAGGGAUAGGGAAAACAACGUUAGCAAAAGUUCUUUACAAUUCUAUAUUUAGACAAUUUGAUGGUUCAUGUUUUCUCAAAAAUGUUCGAGAAGCUUCGAAAGAUUCCAAGGAUUUAGUUCGACUGCAAAACAAAUUACUAUCUGAUGUCUUAUCACAGCAAAAUGGAUUGGUAGUGACCGAUGCUGAUAGAGGUAUCAAUUUCAUACAACAUAGACUUCGUCACAAAAAAGUUCUCCUUGUCCUUGAUGAUGUGGAUGACUUGCAUCAGUUACAUGCUUUAGCAGGAGAAGGCCAAUGUUUUGGUAAUGGAAGUAGGAUCAUUGUUACUACAAGAGAUAAACAUUUGCUAACUUGUUAUGAAAUUGUUCAAGAUCAUGUGUAUGAAGUUGAACCACUAAGUUACCAUGAAGCUCGUGAGCUGCUUAGCAAUCAUGCUUGUCUGACACUCCAAAAAUUAGAAAUUAGGACAAAUUUGGUGGAUAGUGUUCUGAAUCAUGCUAGAGGAAUUCCUUUAGCACUUGAGGUUCUCGGUUCCUGCUUACGUGGUAAAAGAGAAGAUGUAUGGGAAAGUACACUGAAGAAAGUUUCUAGGAUUCCCAACAAAGCUAUUAAUGAUGUUCUCAAAAUAAGUUACGAUGGACUAGAGGAAAAUGAAAAAGAUAUUUUUCUCAAUGUUGCCUGCUUUUUUAAGGGGAAGGAUAGUGAGUACAUAAAGAAAGUCCUCGAUAGUUGUGAUCUUGAUGCAACCGUAGGAUUCAAUAGACUCAUUGAGACGUCCUUGAUAAGCAUUGACUAUAGAAGAAUACUACAAAUGCAUGACUUGAUUCAAUCAAUGGGUAUGGAUAUUGUGAGACAAGAAUGUCGUGAUGAUCCCAGAAGUCGCAGCAGACUAUGGCGGUAUGAUGAUGUUGCCGAUGCUUUGUCAAGCGAUGUGGGAGAUUGUGCUGUGAAAGCCAUUGUGUUGGAGCCACCUAAACUAAAAGAGCUAAGUAUCCAUCAUAAUGCUUUUCCAAAAAUGAGAAAGUUGAAAUUGCUCAUCAUACGCAAUGUUCAUAUUUCUUUCCAUGGCCUUAUAUGUCUUCCUAAUGAGCUAAGAUGGAUGGAAUUUGAUGGAAGUGGUGCUUGGAUUCCAAAAUUUCCUCCUGGUCACAAGAAAUUAGUAAGUAUUGAUAUGAGGAAAGGCAAUAUCACAGAAUUCGUAAAACACUUUAAGGACUUCCAACAAUUGAGGUACAUUAAAUUGCAUGAUUGCGAGUCGCUCGUUAGUACACCCAACAUCUCAUGCGCUCCAAAUCUCGAAGAAUUGAAACUUUGGAAUUGCAAUAACUUGGUAGAAGCCCAUGAGUCGAUUGCAUAUCAUGACAAGCUCCAGGUCUUGCAUCUUAAAUGGUGCCCUAAACUUUGUGUUUUUCCGAAUGUGCUCAAGUCAAAAAAUCUUCAAGAUCUCAAACUUUCCGAUUGCCCAAAAUUGGAAAGAUUCCCCGAUAUUCCAGAUGAACUCAGAGGCCUGAAAGAACUUUCCAUACGACAUACCGCUUUAAAAGAACUUCCUACAUCAAUAAAAAAUCUUGUCUCUCUAGAGAAAAUACAUUUAGACAUGGGCAAAAACCCUAUAAGUCGUCCAUCUAACAAUUACAACUUACAAAAACUUCAACGGUUCAAAUCUUUUCUUUGCCAAGUCGUGUUUCCAAACCUUUGGAAUUCAGCUGAUCCAUGCAUGAAGAUCGGACUUCCAAAUUCAAAUGUGUCAGACCUUUUAAAUUGUAAUCUAUCCCAAGUAGAGUUUCUUGAGGAUCUUUCUUGUUUCCCCUUGUUGAAAAUCUUAAUUCUGUCGGGGAACAAUAUUACUAGCCUUUCCACAUCCAUCAAGCGUGAUCGCUUGUCCACAUCGUCAAUUAGUAAGGACUUCAAGCAAUUGACGUACGUUGAAUUGAGUGACUGCGAGUCGCUCAUUAUUACGCCCAACCUCUCAUGUGCUCCAAAUCUCAAAGAAUUGAAACUCUGGAAUUGCAAAAACUUGGUAGAAGCCCACGAGUCGAUUGCAAAUCAUGACAAGCUCCAAGUCUUGCAUUUUAAAUGGUGCCCUGAACUUCGUGUUUUUCCAAAUGUGCUCAAGUCAAAAAAUCUUCGAGAUCUCAACUUUUCUGUUUGCUCAAAAUUUGAAAGAUUUCCCGAUAUCCCACAUGAACUUGGAUGCCUGAAAAAACUUUCCAUACUACAUACUGCUAUUAAAGAACUUCCUACAUCAAUAGAAAAUCUUGUCUCUCUAGAGGAAAUGCUCUUAGAUAUUUGCAAAAACUCAGUAAGCAUUCCAUCUAAUAUUUACAAGUUACAAAAACUUCAAUGCUUCAAAUCUGCUUUUGGCCCAAUCGUGUUUCCAAACCUCAUGGAUUCAGCUAAUCCGUGCAUGAAGGUUGGACUUUCAAAUUUAAAAGUCUUAGACCUUCUCAAUUGUAAUCUGUCCGAAGUAGAGUUUCUUGAGGAUCUUUCUUGUUUUCCCUUGUUGGAAAACUUAAUUCUGUCGGGGAACAAUAUUACUAGUCUCCCUAUAUCCAUUAGUAAGCGUGAUCGUUUGUCUAAAUUGUCAAUUAGUUAUUGCCAUCAAUUACAAGAGAUUCCCAAGCUUCCACCAUUUUUAAAUUUAUUGCUCGCGGAUGGGUGCGAAUCUCUACAAACAAAUGGACAUUCAACUUCAAUUGAUCAGUGGGUCCAUCGAGGAUUGACCGUGGUUGACAUUGCUUCAAUUGCCGAGAGAGUAUUUCCUUGCACUACUUUUGUUCUCCCUAAAGGAGAGAUGCCAAAGUGGCUUCAACCAGUUAAAGAUGGUUUUAUAUCUUUCAUGGCUUCAAAGGACUUAUAUGACAAGUUUCUUGGAUUGAUUUUAUGUGGCGUACGUAACAAUGAAGGCGAUUUUUGCGUACUUUUGUUUCAAACAUAUUUUAAUGGCAAAGACUACGGUGGCUACGAAACAAGGGUCUUCAGAUCGGAUCCAGGUGGCAUCCUCAUAAACUAUAUUGCACCAAUGGAAUUAUGGGGAGCAGUCCAUUUUGAUCAAAUUGAUGGGAGUUAUGCACAAUUCAACCUUAAAUUAGAGAGCAAGGAUCAGGGCGUGAAAAAGUGGGGAUUUCGAAUAAUAUGCAAGCAAUUAGAGGACGAUUUAAAAGCUACGCUCCGAGACAAUAAGUUAAUUGAUCCAGCUUUCCUCUACGAGAUUGGUCAUAACUCAAUAGAUCCAGAAGUCGAGAGUUCACAUGUGCAUGGAGACAACCCAAUCGAAAUGGAUCAACUAAAAAACUUGCAAGAGAGUUCACAUAAGCUUGAAAACAGACUGAUCGAAUUUGAUCUAGAUUGUCCACCGAGUUCUUACGAGCAUGAUAAAGUCAUAAACAUGAGACAUCGUGAGCAUUCUCUUCCUGGAUACUUUCUUCCUGGAGACCCGCGCAGCCUGGGGAACAAAAAGUACAAGCUUUGGUUGGAAGAAUAUGGAAACUUGCUAAGGGAGUAAUUCGUACGCUCCACCAUCUUCCGUCGGACACUGGCGAUCUCGACAAAUGCAAGAUCGCCGCUUGGCAAGCGGAGGCGACCACGAAGAAGUCCCUAGCGAACCGACGGGCGACGGAGGCCAACGAGCAGAGGCGACGGACUACCGCCGCUGCCGACCGACGCCAUGGGAACCGGUGGCGUAGCUUCUUCAGGGGAACGAUUCUCUCCUGAGGUUCUUAGCUUCGUGCAGCUUGCUAUAUAGAUCGGGUAACACCUGGCACAUCCAGAUUGUAUCGAGUCGAUGCAAUACUUGAGCAGGAUUUUGAAUUUGAUUCGUUUGGUGCUGGAGUUGCCCGGGAACUUGAAGAAUGUGUCAUUGAAUUUGUUCAAGAGACGCUGAAUGAGUGUUCUCUUCGGAAGUUUAGUUUGUCGAUGCUUGGUAGUGAAUUCAAUGGUAAGCGACGUUGCACGCUGCAAAAUCAGGGACAAUCCCUAGAAGGCGAAACUUGCUUUCGACGACCUUGAAGUUCUAGUUGGGUAAGAAACUGGUUUUUGGAAAACAGCUGUGUGAUUGUUGAGGAUGGGCAUGUUAUUGCAGCAAGAAGAAACCCGACUAGUGAGACACAAAAUGCAACAAGACAUGCAGAGAUGGAAACUCUUGAUAUUGUUUUUGAAUAGUGGCAAAGGACUGGAUUAUUGGCUGCAGAAGUUGCAGAGAAGUUUUCAGUAUGCUCUCUUUAUGGGACAUGCGAACCUUGCACAAUGAAAAUAAAUGGAGUAAUGGAAAUUCUAGAUCAAAGGGUUUCAAAUGUUGUGGAGGUAUAAUGGCAUCGAAGCAAUUCCUCUUCUGAGAUUUU
Molecule: RNA transcript, 5143 nt
Organism: Eucalyptus grandis
Lineage: Eukaryota; Viridiplantae; Streptophyta; Magnoliopsida; Myrtales; Myrtaceae
Gene name: TMV resistance protein N
Exons: 11
Source: RefSeq, a predicted model, not a curated record